UGAACGGUUGUCGAAAGGCCAGGCUGAUGUGUGUAAAGACACACAUGGAGAGACAGAAAGGAGGAAAGGAAGGGAGAAGAGUGAGAAGCUGUGGAAAAAGGGUGACGGAGGUGAUUGACAGCAGACAAUUAAUUCAUCCUCUCACCAAGUAGGAUCGCAGAACUUUGUGAGGACUCUCCAUAGACGU
This is a non-coding RNA of Pimephales promelas (fathead minnow), 187 nucleotides long. The record is from RefSeq and is a predicted model, not a curated record. NCBI's taxonomy places the organism in Eukaryota, Metazoa, Chordata, Actinopteri, Cypriniformes, Leuciscidae.